CGCAAGCCUGACGGAGCAAGACCGCGUGGGGGAGGAAAGCCUUUGGGUUGUAAACCCCUUUUCUCAGGGAAGAAGAAAGUGACGGUACCUGAGGAAUCAGCCUCGGCUAACUCCGUGCCAGCAGCCGCGGUAAUACGGAGGAGGCAAGCGUUAUCCGGAAUGAUUGGGCGUAAAGCGUUCGUAGGUGGCAAUUCAAGUCUGCUGUCAAAGACAGUAGCUCAACUACUGCAAGGCAGUGGAAACUGAAUAGCUAGAGUGCGGUAGGGGCAGAGGGAAUUCCCGGUGUAGCGGUGAAAUGCGUAGAGAUCGGGAAGAACACCGGUGGCGAAAGCGCUCUGCUGGGCCGCAACUGACACUGAGGGACGAAAGCUAGGGGAGCG
RNAcentral lists this ribosomal RNA (380 nucleotides) under uncultured cyanobacterium. Its description in RNAcentral is "bacterial SSU rRNA". It matches the Rfam family "Bacterial small subunit ribosomal RNA", at positions 376 to 770 of the family's 1533-position model. The record is from RNAcentral. Lineage: Bacteria; Bacillati; Cyanobacteriota.